Delphinapterus leucas (beluga whale) is the source of this 1794-nucleotide non-coding RNA. NCBI's taxonomy places the organism in Eukaryota, Metazoa, Chordata, Mammalia, Artiodactyla, Monodontidae. The record is from RefSeq and is a predicted model, not a curated record.
UGUGCCAGGCAUGCUAGGACCACAGAGCAUUGUGGAGAGAGACUCAUAUGGUUGUUGUUAUUAAAGAAUAGGCAAGAAGUCUCCCCUCCUGCACCUGGAACCCAUGAGGGACGGUGCUAAGCGCAGGUGGCCUCAUGCCUACGCCAGCAUGGCUAGAGCACACGGUUAUCCAGGGCCUGGGGGCCGAGGAGUCCAUGCUGUUCAGAGGCAACUGGGAGCCUCUGAAAUGUUCUGAGCAGACGGAAGGCCCACCCCAAGGGCUGCACAGAGAGAGACUGGAGGGAGAGAGAAAGACAGAGGGCUGCAGAAAUGUUUACAGCUCGCCCUCGUUAUGGGAGCCAGACUUAGGAUCAAGAUGGCAAACGGAUUUCAGACCUGAAGCCGACUCUGACUGCGACUGCCUGGAGUGCUGCCAAAAAAGAAUCCCCACCUGCGUCUGGAUGCAGAGGGAAGAGUGCGUGAUCCAUUGGUGAUGUCUGCCCUGAGCACAGGGGGAUCGUUCUACCUGCCUUUCAGGGCUGUUGAAAGAACCAAAGGAACCAACGGAUGCAGAGGGACCAGUGCAAGGCCAGCACAUAUGAGGUGCAUUGUGCUGUUAGGAAGAGCUCCGCUGCCACCAACCUCAUUCCCUCCGGGGGACACCGGCCUUUGGCAGCACCUGAGGGGCCGUGGGCAAACACCGUCGCGUUGUAUCCAGAAAUGACGCCUUCCACUAGUGCUGGGGGGUGGCAAGGUACACGUCUUCCUGCGGACAGACGGAAGGAAGACAGGCAAAUGCACACUCCGACCAGAGUUGGGCACCUGGCUGUCUGGAGAGGACAGGUGUGUGGCGCCUGCAAACGCCCUGCUCCCUCUGGACACGGACAGGGACCUCCACGGUGGCAGCCAGCACAGCCACGGCACGAGCCCCACCCCAGUCCUGCAGCCGCCUGGACCACGCCGAGCCCCACGGUGAGACCACGGUGAGGGAGGAUCGCACGAGAAUGACAUGGCUUUUAAGCCCCUUUCCCACGCUGCCAGUCUGCACCACAACCCAGGGCCUGACUCCCAUGAACCAUCAGGCGUAUUUUCUGCUUGAAUGCUGCGCUCAACUUUUCCAACGCAGUCUCCAGGGAAGUCGCUGCACCAUGAACCAAGCAGGCCGCACCUGCCGUCACGCAGCUCACCAGCGCGCCAGGUGACAGCAGCACUGCUCCCGCCCACGAGAGCCAGGGUGCGUGUAGGUGCAGUAAAUUGCUACUGCAUUUUCAUAUAAAUCACGGAGACACCAGAUCCAUGAAGUUCGGAUCUGAGGAACCCAACUUAAUGGUUCGAGCUACAGAGGCCCAUUCACCCCAGCCACGGCUCUCAGUCCGGCCAGCCCGGCAGCAGGGAGCGGCCACACCCGGUCACUUGGUCGUCCAUGGGCAGGAGUGUGCUGGUCACGUCCAGGUCAGUGCUGGGCUCCAGGACUUCUUGGCCACACGAACGAGGCUGGGGAAGGGGCGCCCCUUUAAUAUCCACGCUCCCCCCCAAAGGCCAGGCCUCUGACCCACCAGGAACUUGCUGGAGAGCCCACGUCACCAGGUUCCUACACAAGGGCAGAUCCCUCACAUCCUGACUGCUCUGAACACGAUGGAGAGCAGGCCCGCGUGGGUGGCCAGGAGCCCAGCACCCACCCCGAUGCCCAAGCUGGGGACACUCUGCCUGCCCCUCCCCCGGGUGGGUGGGGAAAUUCUUCUACAAAGGGCCGGCCGUGGGACACCCAGUUCACAGAAAAAGAGAGGUAAUGCCAGCACGAUUGCUUAAGAAAUU